UUUUCCUUGCCGUGACCGAAUCAACCUCCUCCUCUGCUAUAAAGAAAGGCCCUGCCCUCACGUUGUUCUCACCAUUAUCUCUCUGUAUCUCCUUUUUCUCGAUUGAUUCUCAGCCAAGCCCCUUGCGAAUUCUUUCAAGAUGCAGAUCUUCGUCAAGACCCUCACCGGCAAGACCAUCACCCUCGAGGUGGAGAGCUCUGACACCAUCGACAACGUUAAGGCCAAGAUCCAGGACAAGGAAGGGAUCCCGCCGGACCAGCAGAGGCUGAUCUUCGCCGGCAAGCAGCUCGAGGACGGCCGUACCUUGGCUGACUACAACAUCCAGAAGGAAUCGACCCUCCACCUUGUGCUCAGGCUCAGGGGAGGCAUGCAGAUCUUCGUCAAGACCCUCACCGGGAAGACAAUCACCUUGGAGGUCGAGAGCUCUGACACCAUCGACAACGUAAAGGCCAAGAUCCAGGACAAGGAAGGAAUUCCCCCGGACCAGCAGAGGCUGAUCUUCGCCGGAAAGCAGCUCGAGGAUGGCCGCACCCUUGCUGACUACAACAUCCAGAAGGAGUCCACCCUUCACCUUGUCCUCCGUCUUCGUGGUGGUAUGCAGAUCUUCGUCAAGACCCUCACCGGCAAGACCAUCACCCUCGAGGUCGAGAGCUCCGACACCAUCGACAACGUCAAGGCCAAGAUCCAGGACAAGGAAGGAAUUCCCCCGGACCAGCAGAGGCUGAUCUUCGCUGGAAAGCAGCUCGAGGACGGCCGUACCCUCGCCGACUACAACAUCCAGAAGGAGUCUACCCUCCAUCUUGUCCUCCGUCUUCGUGGAGGUAUGCAGAUCUUCGUCAAGACCCUGACUGGCAAGACCAUCACCCUCGAGGUCGAGAGCUCCGAUACCAUUGACAACGUCAAGGCCAAGAUCCAGGACAAGGAAGGAAUUCCCCCGGACCAGCAGAGGCUGAUCUUCGCUGGAAAGCAGCUCGAGGACGGCCGUACCCUCGCCGACUACAACAUCCAGAAGGAGUCCACCCUCCACCUUGUCCUGCGUCUCCGUGGAGGUAUGCAGAUCUUUGUCAAGACCCUGACCGGCAAGACCAUUACCCUCGAGGUUGAGAGCUCCGACACCAUCGACAACGUGAAGGCCAAGAUCCAGGACAAGGAGGGCAUCCCCCAGACCAGCAGAGGCUGAUCUUCGCCGGAAAGCAGCUCGAGGACGGCCGCACCCUCGCUGACUACAACAUCCAGAAGGAGUCCACCCUCCACCUUGUGCUGAGGCUCAGGGGAGGCAUGCAGAUCUUCGUCAAGACCCUCACCGGCAAGACCAUCACCCUGGAGGUGGAGAGCUCCGACACCAUCGACAACGUGAAGGCCAAGAUCCAGGACAAGGAGGGCAUCCCCCCGGACCAGCAGAGGCUGAUCUUCGCCGGCAAGCAGCUGGAGGACGGCCGCACCCUGGCGGAUUACAACAUCCAGAAGGAGUCGACCCUUCACCUCGUGCUCCGUCUUCGUGGUGGAUUCUAAGUGGUUGUGUCUGCUUGAAAGUUGGUCGUCUCUAUGGACGAGGGUUGUUAUGAAUGAAUUUCUUUGACAGUGUUUAUGUGAAAUCGGGGCCGAUGGGUUCCCGAUCGUCUGGGGCUUGUGAAUCAAUCCUUAGUUUCAAUUGAAUAAAAUGGUUAUUUAAUCCUA
RNA transcript from Eucalyptus grandis, 1677 nucleotides. It is a transcript of the gene named polyubiquitin-like, with no coding region annotated. The transcript has 2 exons. The record is from RefSeq and is a predicted model, not a curated record. NCBI's taxonomy places the organism in Eukaryota, Viridiplantae, Streptophyta, Magnoliopsida, Myrtales, Myrtaceae.